GUGUUAAAGGUUAGGGUUUAAAGAACUUAGUUUUCUUUAGGUUAUGAUCUUGAUCAACCAUACCUUGCAAUAUGAUUUAAGCGGUUCUUGGGUUUUGAAACUCAAUUUGUUCUUGGGUUUCUAAGAUAGUGAUUCAUGGGUUCAUAAUCAUUAGGGUUCGUGGUUCUAAUUCUUGGAGGUUCUUAACAUUUGGUAUCAGAG
This 201-nucleotide long non-coding RNA is filed under the name Ricinus communis (castor bean). RNAcentral describes it as "long non-coding RNA (RCOM_LNC003351)". Lineage: Eukaryota; Viridiplantae; Streptophyta; Magnoliopsida; Malpighiales; Euphorbiaceae. The record is from RNAcentral.